This 4461-nucleotide long non-coding RNA is filed under the name Fragaria vesca (wild strawberry). Its description in RNAcentral is "long non-coding RNA (FVES_LNC000046)". The record is from RNAcentral. Lineage: Eukaryota; Viridiplantae; Streptophyta; Magnoliopsida; Rosales; Rosaceae.
CCGGAUAUAUCACCAUACCUAGCUUCCAUCUUUUUGCCACGUAUUGCCGGCCCCCAUACGUACUCAACCCUAUAAAUCAAACCCUUACAUUUCAGAGUUGAAUCGUUUAAGAAAAAAUGCCAGACCAUCCACCACCACCACACGGCGGCCACGGUCACGCACCACCCCCAGGUCCGGGACACCACGAGCCUCCUCCGCCCCAUGGCCAUGCUCCUCCUCCGGGGCCUCAUGCACCUCCUCCGGGACCCCAUGCACCUCCUCCGGGACCCCAUGCACCUCCUCCGGAACCCCAUGCACCUCCUCCGGGACCCCAUGCACCUCCUCAUGAUCCACACAAGCCACAUGACUGUCACCACGGUCACCACCACCCAUGAACCGAACUAGUCAUGAGGCCACGAUCGAGAAGCUAGUCUCAGCAAGUUGUUAUCUAUUUAUCUUUGUGCCUGUAAUGUGAUCUAGCUGCGGUUGUAGUUCUGAGUUGCUGGGUUUACUGGCUUUGCUCCAUUGAUCUCAUCGUUAUGUAAUGACUAAAAUAUGAGGACUAUGUAUGUAUCCAAAAGAAGGCUGAUCAUAUAUGUAUAAUAAGAAGAGUACUGGCUUUGUGGUUUAUGUAUAAUCCGCUUGUGUAAAACUUCUUCUUUUAUCCGUCUAAAUGUGAUGUAUAAUCAGAAAAUAUGGCCAGUUUGUCAUCUUGACCAACCUGAACUUACAAACUAAUUAAUUAAGUCAAUCUCCCCAAUUUCAUCAAUCUUCAUUAGGAUUUCAUCACUAGCUCAUUCCUUCACAGAUAAUUAACCAUUUGCUCGAUUGCUCUUAACAAACUGUAAUAGCCAAGAGGCAAACGCAUCCAUCUAAAUUCUAAAAAGUUAUUAACACAGGCUAGGGGUAAAUUAUCCUUUGUUCAGACCAAUCUCACAGUUGAAGCGAUGAAUUGGCUAAAACAAAAGCCUACGGGCAGAAAAACAAAGCAUCUCUAUUCGUACGGAAGAAUGACUUCCAUAUAUAGUAAGCCUUAUAGUUAUAACACCGUAAGUGUAUAAGAAUAGGAAUUCAUAAACGCAAUAAGAAGAAGACCGUGAAAGAGAUCGAAGAUUAAAGCAGGCCUUAAUGUCUUGUAUAUUCUGUACAAAAUUUCAACAGCCAGAUUUUCUCGAUGCAUUCGUCAGCUUCUGUUUGUAACCUUUCUUCUGUCAAAUCCUCCAUGGCUUUUCACGAGCAAUAAUUCUUGCAAGGUCCCAUUAACAAGCCUCACGUACGUUGUUCUUAUCUCCUUUUCCUUAGCUCACCAAGAAUUCAACUAUUACCAAGUGCAGCAACUAGUUUCUGUGAUCGAUCUACGGAAAGUUAAAGUUAUUGCUCAAAAGAGAAAGAGAAAACGGAAGUUAAAGUUCCAUGCUGCCCUAGUUCAAGUACGCACUCAGUUAUGAUCUUGUGGUUCUUACAAUGGAUGAAUGGAUGAAGCAUUACCACACAAAUACUCAGAAGAGAAAAACAAAACAACCACAGUGCACGAUUAACAUGCUAGCUAGCUUUCAUUGUGUGCAAAUAUCCUGAGCUACCAUUCCACCAAAACAAGCUAAAUAAGUUUAUCCUUGUAUGGAUAUUAUGUGAAUCGAAAUAAUUGUAUAUUUGAUUCUUAGAUAUUAUGUGGCACCUAUUACAACGAAGCAUGUGCCAUAUUCUGAAGAUAAUGUCGACACAUCUGAAUCAUCUAGAGCCCGUACCGACACCUUUCUCCUAUAAAAUCAACUCCUACUAGCUUAAACUCUUCAACAGUUCGCCACAUCAAGAACAACUUUCUUUUUGUUUAUACAAGCUAGUAGUCUCACCAAGAAUUCGAAGAUGCAUCACGGUGAUCAUCACGGCGGACCACCACACCACGGAGGAGGUCCGGGAGGAGGUCCGGGAGGUCCAGGAGGCGGCCCUCAACAUGGUCAUGGUCAUCAAGGAGCUCCGGGAGGAGGGCAUGGAGGACCAGGAGGAGGAGGGCAUGGAGGGCAAGGAGGAGGAGGACACGGAGGACCAGGAGGAGGAGGACAUGGAGGAGGAGGAGGAGGAGGACGAGGGGGGAGGAGGAGGACAUGGAGGAGGAGGAGGAGGAGGACGAGGGAGGAGGAGGAGGAGGACAUGGAGGAGGAGGAGGACGACGGAGGGCAUGGUGGUCACUGAUCAUGGCGCUAGACUACGUAUACUACUUGUGGUGUACUAGCUGGCUGAAUAAGUCUCUCUAUGUGACUUCUGUAGUAUUGUUUGUGUGUUAUCAUUUCCUAGUUGGGUCGAUCAGAUCCUAGAUAGUGAAGCUAGCUAGGGGAGUCGAUCUUGUGUUUGGAGUCUGUUAAUUAAUGUAUGUGUAUGGAUGUGUAAUAAAACCAUACUAGCUAUGUAUUUGAUUCGAGGCUUAACAUAUAUUGCAUGCAGCUAUAUAUAUAUAUAUAUAUAUAAUAUCCUUAGAUGACUAAGAACAUAAGAAACAGAGCAGUACUAUUGAUGAUUUACAAGAUUCAAUUUGUAUAAGUGAUCUUUGGCUUGUCCUAAUUAACCAUCAAGCAAAGCGCUAAGAACGAACAUAUUAUAUAUACUGCCAGAUGAUCAAGCAACUUUGCAGAGGGAUCAUGACGAAAUGUCCAUCUAGCAGCUUAAAUGCUUAAUUAGAACAAUUUUGCAAAACAAACACAAACUUGUAUAAUACGGUACCGAAAAUAUAAGUAUAACCGUUUGAAAUGUCAAGUUUAUCAAUCUUAUGAAAUCGAAGUAUCGUAAAUCGAUAAUGAUCUUCUUCAAAACUAGAACGAGAAUGUAACGUGUCUAUAUGACACUAUAAAUGUCUACGAAAUCAUGCGUUAAGAACAUAAUAUUAUAUUCCUUCGUUUUUUACUAAAGAAUAUCAUUACCGUUAAGCUUUAAUUGACAUACGUACGAUUGUACUUUGUAGUGAUACAUCUAAUUAUAUUGGUCGUGUGGUGCCCUUAGUAUAUUAAAAGGAAAAAACUAAAGAGACCAAAAGGCCCAAAGGAAACCACAGAAAUUGUCAUAAAGGUACAAGUGCAGCCCAACUUUCNNNNNNNNNNNNNNNNNNNNNNNNNNNNNNNNNNNNNNNNNNNNNNNNNNNNNNNNNNNNNNNNNNNNNNNNNNNNNNNNNNNNNNNNNNNNNNNNNNNNNNNNNNNNNNNNNNNNNNNNNNNNNNNNNNNNNNNNNNNNNNNNNNNNNNNNNNNNNNNNNNNNNGUCCUGAUCAUCACCUUCCUUGCCUAUGCUUCCUUCCACGCCUCCAGGAAGCCCCCCAGCAUCGUCAAGAGUGUUCUUGGCCCCAAACUCCUGUCCAAUUCGAGCUCUUUCGACACCGGUUGGGCUCCCUUUAAUGGCCCUGAUGGCACUCACAGGCUUGGAGAACUUGAUCUUGCAUUUCUAUCUGCAUAUUCUAUUGGAAUGUAUUUUGCAGGGCAUGUUGGUGAUAGGAUUGAUUUGAGGUUGUUUCUUGCUUAUGGGAUGUUAGGGAGUGGAGUUUUGACUUGUCUUUUCGGGUUAGGUUAUUGGUGCAAUGUGCAUAUGUUGUGGUACUUUGUGGGUGUGCAAGUUGUGUGUGGGUUGUUUCAGUCAAUAGGGUGGCCUUCUGUUGUGGCAGUUGUGGGGAAUUGGUUUAGGGUUUAGACAGCGGCCAUCACACGCCGGCCACGGUCACGCACCACCCCCAGGUCCGGGACACCACGAGCCUCCUCCGCCCCAUGGCCAUGCUCCUCCUCCGGGGCCUCAUGCACCUCCUUCGGGACCCCAUACACCUCCUCCGGAACCCCAUGCACCUCCUCCGGGACCCCAUGCACCUCCUCAUGAUCCACACAAGCCACAUGACCCGCACCACGGUCACCACCACCCAUGAACCGAACUAGUCAUGAGGGAUCACGAAGCUAGCUAGUCUCAGCAAGUUGUUAUCUAUUUCUGCCUGUAAUGUGAUCUAGCUGCGCUUGUAGUUCUGAGUUGCUGGGUUUACUGGCUUUGCUCCAUUGAUCUCAUCGUUAUGUAAUGACUAAAAUAUGAUGACUAUGUAUGUAUCCAAAAGAAGGCUGAUCAUAUAUGUAUAAUAAGAAGAGUACUGGCUUUCUGGUUUAUGUAUAAUCCGCUUGUGUAAAACUUCUUCUCUGUUAUCGGUCUAAAUGUGAUGUAUGAUCAGAAAAUAUGGUCAGUUUGUCCUCUUGACCAACCUUAACUUACAAACUAAUUAAGUCAAUCUCCCCAAUUUCAUCAAUCUUUAUUAGGAUUUCAUCACUCAUUCCUUCACAGAUAAUUAACCACACAUCCAAGCUGCAUUUGCUCGAUUGCUCUUAACAAACUGUAAUAAUUAACCAAGAGGCAAACGCAUCCAUCUAAAGUCUAAAAAUUAAGUUAUUAACACAAGGUUAAAUUAUCCAUUGUUCAGACCAAUCUCACAGUUAGAGCGAUGAAUUGGCUAAAACAAAAACCUACGGGAG